ACAGAUUAUAUCAACAACACAUGGUGGUGGUACUGGUCAUCAAUGGCGGCUGCUGCCAAGACAUCCACCAUCUCCGCCCUUGCUCUUCGUAUCUACACACUCGAUGCUGCCAUUGACUACCAGAAAACCAACACCACCACCGCCGCCACCUCUUCCAGCCAAAAACUAUCAAAGAAACGGAAACACCCCGAUGACAAACCCAAUGAAUAAAGAAAGAAACCAAAAAAACCACUAGAUAAACAAGAAAUCAAGGAGCAAAUCCAAAAUAUCAUUCCAUAAUCCGAAUGUUUAUCCCGUGUUUUAAUUUUUAUUUGGAGUUUAUAUGUGUGUUUUAUGAAAGAUUGUGUUUGCAAGAGUUUUAGCUUAUUGGAUUUACAAGUUUUCGAGGCUAUUUUGAGGACAGUAUUAAGAGGGUAUUCAUGUCUUUGUACUUGGUUCCAUCUUAAUUAUCAUAAAAGUAAAUUUGCAAAUUAAAACUACAAUGCAAAAGCCAUUUUUCAUUAAUGAUCAGAAAAUUAAUUUUUCAAGUUAAAACAAUCAUUCAAAAUCCAUUUUACAAAGAUAAUGAUUAUUAUAUACAUAUAUUAAUUCAAUGAGGUUUGGGGAAUAGUAUAGUUUUAUUGGAUGUCACUUGUGCCACAUAAUUUUUUAAGUUUGACAUUUUAUCUCCCUAUAUAAUUUUUGAAGUUUGACAAACUAAAAAUAAAUUUAAAAUGCAAAAGAAAAGUAAAAUUCCGAAUUUUUUUUUAAUUAUUAUUUUUGUCAUUUUAUUAAUCUAAAAAAAUUAAAAUAAAUAAAUACCAAAUAAAGAAAAUUUAUUGUUUUUUUUUUUGAAAAUAUGUGAAAUAUUCCAAUAGAAUAUUACACUGUAAAUUUUCGAAUGUGAUUNAAUUCUCAUCAUUUUUGUGAAAAUAAGUUAAGCAUGAGUUGUAUUUUAUUGAAUGAAUUCCAAACUAAAAAUACUAGUUAUUUAACAUUAUUAUUAUUUUCUUAAUUUUUAAUUUUUAUGUUUCUGGAUUGCAAAUGGUUGAAGCAACUAUGGUAUUGGAAACCAUGAUCAAGACAGAUUAUAUCAACAACACAUGGUGGUGGUUGGUCAUCAANGUACUGGUCAUCAAUGGCGGCUGCUGCCAAGACAUCCACCAUCUCAGCCCUUGCUCUUCGUAUCUACACACUCGAUGCUGCCACUGACUACCAGAAAACCAACACCACCACCGCGGCCACCUCUUCCAGCCAAAAACUAUCAAAGAAACGGAAACACCCCGAUGACAAACCCAAUGAAUAAAGAAAGAAACCAAAAAAACCACUAGAUAAACAAGAAAUCAAGGAGCAAAUCCAAAAUAUCAUUCCAUAAUCCGAAUGUUUAUCCCGUGUUUUAAUUUUUAUUUGGAGUUUAUAUGUGUGUUUUAUGAAAGAUUGUGUUUGCAAGA
This 1430-nucleotide long non-coding RNA is filed under the name Lactuca sativa (garden lettuce). RNAcentral's name for it is "long non-coding RNA (LSAT_LNC004739)". The record is from RNAcentral. Lineage: Eukaryota; Viridiplantae; Streptophyta; Magnoliopsida; Asterales; Asteraceae.